GUGGGGAAUAUUGGACAAUGGGGGGAACCCUGAUCCAGCCAUGCCGCGUGUGUGAAGAAGGCCUUUUGGUUGUAAAGCACUUUAAGCGAGGAGGAGGCUUACCUGGUUAAUACCUAGGAUAAGUGGACGUUACUCGCAGAAUAAGCACCGGCUAACUCUGUGCCAGCAGCCGCGGUAAUACAGAGGGUGCGAGCGUUAAUCGGAUUUACUGGGCGUAAAGCGCGCGUAGGUGGUUAAUUAAGUCAAAUGUGAAAUCCCCGAGCUUAACUUGGGAAUUGCAUUCGAUACUGGUUAGCUAGAGUAUGGGAGAGGAUGGUAGAAUUCCAGGUGUAGCGGUGAAAUGCGUAGAGAUCUGGAGGAAUACCGAUGGCGAAGGCAGCCAUCUGGCCUAAUACUGACACUGAGGUGCGAAAGCAUGGGGAGCAAACAGGAUUAGAAACCCCUGUAGUCC
RNAcentral lists this ribosomal RNA (451 nucleotides) under uncultured bacterium. Its description in RNAcentral is "partial 16S ribosomal RNA". It matches the Rfam family "Bacterial small subunit ribosomal RNA", at positions 354 to 796 of the family's 1533-position model. The record is from RNAcentral.